RNAcentral lists this ribosomal RNA (500 nucleotides) under uncultured Myrionecta. Its description in RNAcentral is "bacterial SSU rRNA". It matches the Rfam family "Eukaryotic small subunit ribosomal RNA", at positions 1210 to 1795 of the family's 1831-position model. Lineage: Eukaryota; Ciliophora; Litostomatea; Cyclotrichida; Mesodiniidae. The record is from RNAcentral.
AAAACUUACCAGGUCAAGACAUGGGCGUGAUUGACAGGCUAAUGACUUUUCUCGAUUCCAUGGAUGGUGGUGCAUGGUCGCACUUAGUUGGUGCAGUGAUUUGUCAGGUUUAUUCCGGUAACGAACGAGACCUCGGCCUUGUAAAUAGCUAUGCUGCUUACAGGGACAUUGGCGGCUACGCCAAGGAAGCUCGAGGCAAUUGCAGAUCUGGAAUGCCCUUAGAUGUCCUGGGUCGCACGCGUGCUACAAUGACGCCACGAACGAGCUUGCGUGAUGAAAGUUACGCAUAAUCAGCAGUCGGCGUCUUAAGGGAUAGUCUCUUGUAACUGUGGGACUCCAACUAGGAAUGUCUCGUAAGCACAAGUCAACAUCUUGUGUUGAUUACGUCCCUGCUCUUUGUACACACCGCCCGUCGCUCCUACCGAUCGAGUGUUUAGGUGAAUUUGAUGGACGUAAGGAAGUCAAAUAAACCUGAGCACUAGAGAAAGAGAGUCGAGAUC